UUGCGGUGAUGAAAACUCUAAUGAGAAUUUUUGAGAGUUUAAAGCUCUGUGAAACGUCGACUUAUUGUCGAUCUGAGCGGUUACCUGAGCAA
Non-coding RNA from Helianthus annuus (common sunflower), 92 nucleotides. Lineage: Eukaryota; Viridiplantae; Streptophyta; Magnoliopsida; Asterales; Asteraceae. The record is from Rfam.